GCGAGAUGGAUGCCGAAAAAGCUGAUGAAAAGGUGAAGACGACGAUGCAUUCGUGGUUCGCAGCUCAGCCCAAAACAUUUUUUAAUGAGAAAAUACAAAGGUCCUUCGGCAAAUGGACAAAGUGUAUACAGAAAUCGAGUGAUUAUGUCAAAAAAUGAUGUAUGUCUUUUUUGACAAUUGCUUAAAAUAAAUUCUACACCGACAGAGCGGGCUGUUAAUCUAGAGGCUGGAGUACAAAGAAGUGGCACAAUGAUGUGGGCUGAUGACAUUUAUAAUUAUCAAGGAAUCACCCCUACAUUCGCUCAGAAUUUUAAUGAAACUGUCCCUUGGGAAGGAAGAACUGAUACCUUGAUAUCACGGUUUGUACAUCCUAUAUAUACGACAAAUUUUAGAACAUUAUAUAACGAAGAACCAGAUCGUCGUGGCCAUGUGAUGUGAAUAAAAGGACUUGAAUUUGAUGAUAUUUUUAUAAUGUUAGAUAACAUAACUAAGUAUCUUCACAGUAAGAUAGGAUGACAUGGUUUACAUGAUCUUAAUGUUGUUCACUCGAGUGAUGAUAUUAUAAGGAAAAGCGUAAUAUCACAGGAUAUUUAUGUUUAGUAACCAGUAAUUCAGAGAUUGGUAUUCAUGGUUACUAUAACGAGGCUGUAGAAACGCACCCUUUCUUCUUUGCAAAUGGCCCUGUAUUUAUGUCUAAGCCGAAACUGGAACCUCUGAAUAAUUUAGAUUUAUUCUUGUUAUUUUCUAAAAUACUUAUCUACAGUAUACCAUAAGGAAUGAUACCGUAUCGCACCUAAUCAAGUGCCUUAAGAAACAUCAACAGGAUAUCACAGUAAUCCCUUAUCGACUGAUAUUUGUAGCCACUACAAUAUCUAUGACACUGGUAGUAAUUAUAAGAACAAUAAUGAUGUUCUAUAAGAGGAAAUGAUGAUUAGGAACAAAAACUUACAGGAGAUAUCAUGCGGUGGAUGGAUAAUAUGUAAAAAAUAUUAAGCAGUAUAUGAAUUUUCAUAUUGCGUAGAGAUAACAAAAUGAAUUUUAAAAAAUGUCGACACGGUAAUAAGAAAUAGCAUCGUGACAAAGAAUAUAUAAAGACAGUUUCAUUUUUUAUAAAUAAAAAUUUGUUGUUCCAAAUUUUGAAAUACAGUGAAACGUUUAAUUAGUAUCUUAAUAUCUUUAAAUAAUUAUUAUUUUAGAAUCAAUUGUAAUUGUAUCAUACGUACUUUUGAAUUCGUGCAAGAACAUAUGUAAUUUUGAAGUAGUUAUUAUUAGGAAACUGUUAGACGCGAACAGUAUGCGAAAAGUUAGUAUGCAGUGUAAUAAUUAUCAAUCAAAACACAAGAAUUAAAUUCUUGAGGAAAAAAUUUCCG
Bombus huntii is the source of this 1370-nucleotide long non-coding RNA. RefSeq lists it as uncharacterized. The transcript is spliced from 6 exons. The record is from RefSeq and is a predicted model, not a curated record. Lineage: Eukaryota; Metazoa; Arthropoda; Insecta; Hymenoptera; Apidae.